This 2682-nucleotide long non-coding RNA is filed under the name Homo sapiens (human). RNAcentral describes it as "HSALNT0101046". The record is from RNAcentral. Lineage: Eukaryota; Metazoa; Chordata; Mammalia; Primates; Hominidae.
AAACCAGGAACCUUCAGUUACUCCAGCAUGAAGGAAUCAACUGCUAUAGAGACCACAUUCCCUGGAGUUUUAUAAACUAUGCUGGUCAUCAGAUCACUUUUAGACAUCAUGUAAGGUAUUGAUUUUGGUCACCUCAUGGUGGUUUUUUUUUUUUUAAUUUUUUUAUUUUCCAGUUCUUAAGAAAAGUUCUUAAAAAUGUAAAUAGCUAAUACUUGGGAAAUUUUAAUGUAAACUUCAGUCUCUUUGAAGUGAGUUGAGCACAUAUUAAUUGUCAUUUUAUUUCAAUAUCUUUUGGCAGUGUUGUUUUCACGUAUAACCAACCAAUGACUUUCAUGAUAGUCACAAACAAAAACAGAAUAGUGCUUUCCCCAAAUGGAAAUGUUUUAUGGUUCUGUCUUCUAGUUCCCUGAGACAGACACAUCUGAAGUGAGUAAAGAGUGUAAUCAAAAUUAUAUUCUUAAAAAGUUCUCUCUUGUUUUAGGUUCCUUAGUGAAUACUCUCUCUCUCUCUCUCUCAAUGGUUUCUAAUGGUGAAUUUCUUUUAAGAAAAGUUUAUCUCUGUAUUCUACUCCCUUUUCACCCACUAAAACACUUAGAUUUAUUUUCUUUUAGUGUACACAUAAAAUAUUGCUUUUUAAUUUGACACUCCACUGAGUUAAGAGUGGCAAUUCUCCUAAAUUAUUUUCUUUUUCUUUUUUUUAUUUUUAUUUUUCAGACAGGGUCUCACUCUGUUGCCCAGGUUGGAGUGCAAUGACAUGAUCAUGGUUCACCGCAGCCUGGCUCACUACUGCUUCACCUCCUGGGCUCAAAUGAUCCUCUCACCUAAGCCUCCUGAGGAGCUGGGACUACAGGCACACACCACCACACCCAGAUAAUAUAUUUUUAAAAUUUAUUAUUGGGACGGGGUCAUCCUAUGUUGCCCAAGUUAGUCUCAAACUCUUGAGCUCAAGUGAUCCUCCCACCUUGGCCUCCAAGGGUGCUGGGAUUGCAGGCCCAAGCCAUGACAUCUGGCCAUUUCUAAAUUCUUAAUGUGGAAUAUUUACAUUUUAUCGUUGGAAAGACAGCCUUCAAAGAUUAAUACUUAUUAAAUAAUAGAAUGUUCUUAGCAAACAAACAGUUAAUUUUUAAAAUGAAAAGUCAAGAUGAAAGAAAAAUAUUUCACAGAAUGUUAAUGAAGUGUGGGAUAAAUUUAGUAUCUUCAUAUAUUAACAUAAGAAGUAAUAAAAUGCAAUCACAAAAAUAGCCCUGGAAUUGAAUUGCAUGUUGGGAGUGAUGGUUUGAUGGCAACUCGGAAUACAAAAUGAGCAGAUUGAAGAGGUUCUAAUGUAUUCAGGGCCAGAGAAAUUAUUCUUUAAACUUUUCUUCCUCUUAGCUGUCUCCAUUAAUGUUCAUGGUCAGGUUGGCCUUUCGGAUAAAAGUGAGAUGAUGAACAUCAAAAUGCACAGAACCCUAUGGGACCACAUGGUGGUUACUCAAUACAUGUUUCUGAAUCUGAUUCUGAUAAAUAUAAGUCUAGUCUUUGAAAAAUUAACUAUCAGGGAAAGAAAGGGUCAGUAAGUUUUCUCUAUGGUGAGCCCAUCUUUUCCUUAUUUACUUAUUAUGUAUUAAACAGCUCCUAGGUGACAGGGCCUGUGCUAAGUGCUCAGUUCCUACCCUUAAUUAAAGACAGGCAUGCAAGGCUAUAAUUGUACCCACAUUCCUCUUGAGGUCACACCAGAGCUCUCUCCAGUGGGAAGAACUUUAAAUAGCCAAUCUCUAAUAAGCACAAGGGAGCCACAUCAUAGGAAAAAAUGUGAAAAGACAAUGGCAUUUUCCACUUCUUUACACCACCAACAAGGGGAAAUGGCUGAGCAGUGCGUCUUCCUCAAGAAAACGUUCCUUCAACUUUGAUAUCACUGUCAAUUGAAAAAUAUGACCAUAGAUUUCUUCCACUCUAGAAUCCACUCCCUUUUGUCAUAUGUCUUUGCUGCUUCAUUCAGUGGUGAGGUUGCUGUCCCACUUCUUGAAUCUGGGAUGGCUUUCUGAUGGCUUUGGCAGAUAGAAUAUGACAGAAGUGGGGACGAGGGUUCAUGCCUAUAACACCAGCACUUUGGGAGGCUGGGGGAGGGGGGAGGAUCACUUGAGGUCAGGAGUUCAAGACCAGCCUGGCCAACAUGGUGAAACCCCAUCUCUUCUAAAAAUACAAAAAUUAGCUGGGUGUGGUGGCUCAAGCCUGUAAUCCCAGCUACUCGUGAGGCUGAGGCAGAAGAAUUGUUUGAAUGCGGAAGGCAGAGGUUUCAGUGAGCCAAAAUCACGCCAUUGCACUCCAGCCUGGGCAACAGGAGCAAAAUUCUGUCUCAAAAAAAAAAAAAAAAAAAAGACAGAAGUGUCAUGGUACAACUUCCAUGUCCAGACCCGAGACUUAGAAUGAACUUAGAAAGUCUGUGGCUUUCAACUCUUUAAUCUCUUAGGAUGCCACUCUGAAUGCCACCAUGUAAGGAAGCCUGUCCAGUCUAUCAGGGGAAAAGGCGCCACGUGGAUAGAAAUCAAACCAAAAUGCCACAGCCAAAGGCUGGCACCAAGGCCAGGCAUGUGACCAAGGCAUCUUAAACCUCCCAGCCUCAAGCUACUGUACGUAGCCACAUGAGUGAGCACAAGCAGAAUCAGCAAAGGGACACUCCAGCAAACCCACAGAAUGGUGAGA